Molecule: long non-coding RNA, 1693 nt
Organism: Oncorhynchus tshawytscha (Chinook salmon)
Lineage: Eukaryota; Metazoa; Chordata; Actinopteri; Salmoniformes; Salmonidae
Exons: 3
Source: RefSeq, a predicted model, not a curated record
UUUUAUUUACUUGUCUAGUGAUCAUAUAGAGAAGAAUGUAAAACGUAUAUACUGAAUUUAAUCAGAACAUUUCAGAUAACUGUCUAGUAUAUCGCUGUGACUACGUAUUAAGUACCAGAACUACUAGAUGUCUGGAAAUGUCAUUACUUAUAUUUCCUCUGAUACUCUAAUUUAAUGUUUCUUGCUAAACACCUCUCUUUAGUCGUGUUGCAUUCUUGACAGUUAAAACAGUUUAGGACCAAACCCAUAGCUUACAACCUUUUUUUCUUUUUGUCCUUUAUUUGAACUGUGUUUCAAUAGAGCCACAAUGGUUUUGAGGUAUGUGUCUGGUAUAAAAAUUGGAAGUAAAUAGAACAAGUUAUCCCGGAAAGAUUGCUUUUGCCCGGAUCUGAAAAUAUGUAAUCUCAAAGGAGGAAUGUACCAGAAAUAUUCAUAUUCACCCACCAUUCCAACUGUCAGAAAUUAAAUGCUGUUAAAUUUCACUUCUGGUGGGUGGUGUGACUAACAGAUGGUCAUCCUCUUUGCAGAAUCUCUACAUGAUACUGUUCUCUUUUAUCUCAGGGCCUAUGAUGUGUUGCCAAAAGGGAAUUAUGAGGUCUUCGUCUCAACUGGAAUUCAGACGACAGCCAAACUGGAAAAAUUGAAAGUUGAACGUUACAACUGAAGUGAAAUAGGGGGAAACGCAUGAAAAGUAGCUGCUACCUUGGCUAAUGGGGAUCCAUAAUAAAUACAAAUGCAAGACAACUAAGUAACUCAAGCUCUGAAAGCUCCUUCAUGCCAACGAACACUAUAUUCAAGUCAGGAUAUUGAGUCACUAAUGUACUAUAAAGGAUGUUUUGACUACAUCCACUAGGGUGCACUGUAAGUCAAGUGAAAAGAGGAACAAGCCAGUGUGGUAUUCCACAAUCAUGAAACAAAUAACAUAUCUUGUAUGUAGCUAAGAAGUAAGUCAUUCAGAAAAUGUCUUGUUUCUUAAAAAUAAAAAAUACUUUGCUAUUUGGACAAAUCAAUAAAUACCACGAAAGGGACUUUUCAUGACACCAGUUGAAGGCACUGGCAGGAACACGUGGAAGUAUUUUCAGCCUGUGAGGAUCAGCCAGAAAGGAAAGCCACUAUCCCCUCCCUGACUCCCAGCCCAUCAGCUGGCCAUUUUGGUCCUCCACUGUGACUCAUGGGGAUGCACAUUAUCAGCUGCUGAGUAGUGUCAUUCAUUGAGGAACUGAUCUGAUACAGAUUUGAUUUCUGUAUGCGCUGCUCUAACCAAACAAAGGAGGAGCAAUACUUAGAUAUUAAACUCCAGCACACACUGUUUGUGACCUUUUUGAUAAACUAAUCAAUUGUAAUCAGUUAAAUUUGAUGUUCAUAUGUUGCUGCAAUGAUUGGUAUGUUAUACUGUGUGUGAUUGCUAGGGAGCCUUGCCACAAAUGUGAGUCAUUUAUUUAAUUCAACAAUGUUUUUGAGAUCUAACAUAUCCCUGCUCUUGUUAUGACAUGAUUUACUAAGCAGUAGCUACAGCUCCUUUGUUAGUACAAAUGAUAAUGAUAUUCAGCAUGUGUUUAGUUUCCUUUGGAGGGCUAGAGCCUUGGCCUGGCAGGUGAAUACGUAUAUGUAAUAUGUAACUGAAUGUUAAACUUGGUUGGGGCAAUCCAACAAUGUGAGAUAUAUAUAUAUAUAUGCAGUACCAGUCAAAAGU